RNAcentral lists this ribosomal RNA (465 nucleotides) under uncultured bacterium. Its description in RNAcentral is "partial 16S ribosomal RNA". It matches the Rfam family "Bacterial small subunit ribosomal RNA", at positions 28 to 507 of the family's 1533-position model. The record is from RNAcentral.
GAUGAACGCUGGCGGCGUGCUUAACACAUGCAAGUCGAACGGAAAGGCUCCUGCUUGCUGGGGUACUCGAGUGGCGAACGGGUGAGUAACACGUGGGUGACCUGCCCUGCACUUCGGGAUAAGCCUGGGAAACUGGGUCUAAUACCGGAUAGGACGAUGGCUUGGAUGCCAUUGUGGAAAGUUUUUUGGUGUGGGAUGAGUUCGCGGCCUAUCUGCUUGUUGGUGGGGUAAUGGCCUACCAAGGCGUCGGCGGGUAGCCGGCCUGAGAGGGUGUACGGCCACAUGGGGACUGAGGUACGGCCCAGACUCCUACGGGGGGCAGCAGUGGGGAAUAUUGCACAAUGGGCGCAAGCCUGAUGCAGCGACGCCGCGUGGGGGAUGACGGCCUUCGGGUUGUAAACUCCUUUCGCUAGGGACGAAGCGCAAGUGACGGUACCUGGAGAAGAAGCACCGGCUAACUACGUG